This 376-nucleotide ribosomal RNA is filed under the name uncultured bacterium. RNAcentral's name for it is "bacterial SSU rRNA". It matches the Rfam family "Bacterial small subunit ribosomal RNA", at positions 524 to 898 of the family's 1533-position model. The record is from RNAcentral.
GACGGGGGGGGCAAGCGUUGUCCGGAAUUACUGGGCGUAAAGGGCGCGUAGGCGGUCGCGUACGGCGGUGGUGAAAGCUCCCGGCUCAACUGGGAGAGGCCCGCCGCAACGGCGUGACUCGAGGGUGGUAGAGGUCCAUGGAAUUCCCGGUGUAGCGGUGAAAUGCGUAGAGAUCGGGAGGAACACCCAUGGCGAAGGCAGUGGACUGGGCCAUGCCUGACGCUGAGGCGCGAAGGCCAGGGGAGUGAACGGGAUUAGAUACCCCGGUAAUCCUGGCGGUAAACGAUGGUCACUAGGUGUCUGCGGUAUCGACCCCGCGGGUGCCGGAGCUAACGCGUGAAGUGACCCGCCUGGGGAGUACGGCCGCAAGGUUGAA